RNAcentral lists this ribosomal RNA (253 nucleotides) under uncultured bacterium. Its description in RNAcentral is "partial 16S ribosomal RNA". It matches the Rfam family "Bacterial small subunit ribosomal RNA", at positions 524 to 776 of the family's 1533-position model. The record is from RNAcentral.
UACGUAGGGUGCAAGCGUUGUCCGGAAUUAUUGGGCGUAAAGAGCUCGUAGGCGGUCAGUCGCGUCUGCUGUGAAAACUCGGGGCUUAACUCCGGGCCUGCAGUGGGUACGGGCUGACUAGAGUGCGGUAGGGGAGACUGGAAUUCCUGGUGUAGCGGUGAAAUGCGUAGAUAUCUGGAGGAACACCGGUGGCGAAGGCGGCGUCCUGGACCAACACUGACACUGAUGAGCGAAAGCCAGGGGAGCAAACGGG